RNAcentral lists this ribosomal RNA (468 nucleotides) under uncultured bacterium. RNAcentral's name for it is "partial 16S ribosomal RNA". It matches the Rfam family "Bacterial small subunit ribosomal RNA", at positions 28 to 507 of the family's 1533-position model. The record is from RNAcentral.
GACGAACGCUGGCGGCGUGCUUAACACAUGCAAGUCGAACGGAAAGGCCCUGCUUUUGUGGGGUGCGCGAGUGGCGAACGGGUGAGUAACACGUGAGUAACCUGCGCUUUUCUUUGGGAUAACUUCAGGAAACUGGGGCUAAUACACGAUAGGAGCUCCUGCUGCAUGGGGGGGGUGGGAAAGUUUCGGCGGUUGGGGAUGGACUCGCGGCUUAUCAUCUUGUUGGUGGGGUAGUGGCUUACCAAGGCUUUGACGGGUAGCCGGCGUGGGAGGGUGACGGGCCACAUUGGGACAAAGGAACGGCCCAGAGGCAUACGGGAGGCAGCAGUGAAGAAUAUUGCACAAAGGGCGGAAGACUGAUGAAGAAGCGUCGCGUGCGGGAGGACGGCUUUCAGGUAGUAAACCGAUUUCGCCUGUGAAGAAGGGCAAGUGACGGUAAUGGGUAAGGAAGCACCGGCUAACUACGUG